AUUCUGGCUCAGGACGGACGCUGGCGGCGUGCCUAAUACAUGCAAGUCGAACGGUCUUUCUAUGGAAGCUUGCUUCCACUGAGAAGAUAGUGGCGAACGGGUGAGUAACACGUGGGUAACCUGCCCAUAAGAGGGGGAUAACAUCCGGAAACGGGUGCUAAUACCGCAUAGUUUUCUUGAUCGCAUGAUCGGGAAAGGAAAGACGGCCUUUGUGCUGUCGCUUAUGGAUGGACCCGCGGCGUAUUAGUUAGUUGGUGAGGUAACGGCUCACCAAGACGAUGAUACGUAGCCGACCUGAGAGGGUGAUCGGCCACAUUGGGACUGAGACACGGCCCAAACUCCUACGGGAGGCAGCAGUAGGGAAUCUUCCGCAAUGGACGAAAGUCUGACGGAGCAACGCCGCGUGAGUGAAAGAAGGUUUUCGGAUCGUAAAACUCUGUUGUCAGAGAAGAACAAGUUGGAGAGUAACUGCUCCAGCCUUGACGGUAUCUGACCAGAAAGCCACGGCUAACUACGUGCCAGCCGCCGC
RNAcentral lists this ribosomal RNA (529 nucleotides) under uncultured bacterium. RNAcentral's name for it is "bacterial SSU rRNA". It matches the Rfam family "Bacterial small subunit ribosomal RNA", at positions 16 to 518 of the family's 1533-position model. The record is from RNAcentral.